This 549-nucleotide ribosomal RNA is filed under the name uncultured Glomus. Its description in RNAcentral is "SSU rRNA". It matches the Rfam family "Eukaryotic small subunit ribosomal RNA", at positions 548 to 1098 of the family's 1831-position model. The record is from RNAcentral. Lineage: Eukaryota; Fungi; Glomeromycota; Glomeromycetes; Glomerales; Glomeraceae.
UUGGAGGGCAAGUCUGGUGCCAGCAGCCGCGGUAAUUCCAGCUCCAAUAGCGUAUAUUAAAGUUGUUGCAGUUAAAAAGCUCGUAGUUGAACUUCGGAAUCAAUGGAUUGGUCAUGCCGUUGGUAUGUACUGGUCAUAUUGGUUCUCACCUUCUAAGGAACCAUAAUGUCAUUCAUUUGAUGUUUUGGGGAAUUAGGACUGUUACCUUGAAAAAAUUAGAGUGUUUAAAGCAGGCUAACGCUUGAAUACAUUAGCAUGGAAUAAUGAAAUAGGACAUCGCAUUCUAUUUUGUUGGUUUCUAGGAUCGAUGUAAUGAUUAAUAGGGAUAGUUGGGGGCAUUAGUAUUCAAUUGUCAGAGGUGAAAUUCUUGGAUUUAUUGAAGACUAACUACUGCGAAAGCAUUUGCCAAGGAUGUUUUCAUUAAUCAAGAACGAAAGUUAGGGGAUCGAAGACGAUCAGAUACCGUCGUAGUCUUAACCAUAAACUAUGCCGACUAGGGAUCGGAUGAUGUUGAUUUUUUAAUGACUCAUUCGGCGCCUUACGGGAAAC